UACGGGGGGGGCAAGCGUUGUUCGGAAUUACUGGGCGUAAAGGGCGCGUAGGCGGCCUUCUAAGUCGGACGUGAAAUCCCUCGGCUUAACCGAGGAACUGCGUCCGAUACUGAAAGGCUUGAAUCCGGGAGAGGGAUGUGGAAUUCCAGGUGUAGCGGUGAAAUGCGUAGAUAUCUGGAGGAACACCGGUGGCGAAGGCGGCAUCCUGGACCGGUAUUGACGCUGAGGAGCGAAAGCGUGGGGAGCGAACAGG
RNAcentral lists this ribosomal RNA (253 nucleotides) under uncultured bacterium. RNAcentral's name for it is "partial 16S ribosomal RNA". It matches the Rfam family "Bacterial small subunit ribosomal RNA", at positions 524 to 776 of the family's 1533-position model. The record is from RNAcentral.